AGCGAAGCGAGGCGGCGGGGGAUGAGAAGCACCGGUGGGGUUCGACCGCCGGCGCAGCCGGUAGGACGGCGUAGCCGCCCGAAGGGUGAGGCGCGUAGCGCCGAAUCAAUCCCCCCUCUCCGCCA
This 125-nucleotide small RNA is filed under the name Stenotrophomonas humi. RNAcentral describes it as "RtT RNA". It matches the Rfam family "RtT RNA". From Rfam's summary of the family: This family represents a bacterial cis-regulatory element known as RtT RNA. The exact function of RtT is unknown although it is thought that it may be involved in changing the cellular response in relation to amino acid starvation. The record is from RNAcentral. Lineage: Bacteria; Pseudomonadati; Pseudomonadota; Gammaproteobacteria; Lysobacterales; Lysobacteraceae.